RNAcentral lists this long non-coding RNA (399 nucleotides) under Citrus sinensis (sweet orange). Its description in RNAcentral is "long non-coding RNA (CSIN_LNC003699)". Lineage: Eukaryota; Viridiplantae; Streptophyta; Magnoliopsida; Sapindales; Rutaceae. The record is from RNAcentral.
CCCCCCCAAAAAAAAAAACACCUAGCUUUUUGCUUCCCUUUGUUCCCCUCUCUCUCUCUCUCUCUCUCUCUCUCUCUCAAAAUCUCUCUUUCUACUUCAAAUGAAAAUGAACCCGUUCACUGUUUCCUGUUGAUGCGCACCAUAAAGAUUUCCGACCUUUUUGUGAAGGAUUAAUAUAUUCUUAGGGCCCCGAUUCUUACCAAAAUGAAAAGUAUUGUUAGUUAUCCCACCUUUAUUCAUUAAAAUUUUAUUCAUUAAAUGCUGUUGAAUUUAUAAACGCAAACAAAAUGACCCAUUUAUGUUUAUAUUUUAAAAAAUCCUUAUCACAUUUUCGAAUGUAAUAGUUAGAAGAGCCGUGAAUCAUAAUCAUCUACAUAAACGAGCUGCGUAGCCCAAUAC